Molecule: transfer RNA, 88 nt
Filed under: Nephromyces sp. ex Molgula occidentalis
Lineage: Eukaryota; Apicomplexa; Aconoidasida; Nephromycida
Description: tRNA-Ser
Rfam family: tRNA
About the family: Transfer RNA (tRNA) molecules are approximately 80 nucleotides in length. Their secondary structure includes four short double-helical elements and three loops (D, anti-codon, and T loops).
Source: RNAcentral
GGAGAAAUGGCAGAGUAGGUUUAAUGCAUCUGAUUUGAGAUCAGUCAAACCUUUUAAAGUUUCGUGGGUUCAAAUCCCACUUUCUCCU